RNAcentral lists this ribosomal RNA (255 nucleotides) under uncultured bacterium. Its description in RNAcentral is "partial 16S ribosomal RNA". It matches the Rfam family "Bacterial small subunit ribosomal RNA", at positions 524 to 776 of the family's 1533-position model. The record is from RNAcentral.
UACGUAGGGUGCAAGCGUUGUCCGGAAUUAUUGGGCGUAAAGAGCUCGUAGGCGGUCUGUCGCGUCUGGUGUGAAAACCGGGGGGCUUAACCCUCGGCGUGCGGGCGAUACGGGCAGACUGGAGUACUGCAGGGGAGACUGGAAUUCCUGGUGUAGCGGUGGAAUGCGUAGAGAUCCGGAAGAACACCGGUGGCGAAGGCGGCCUGCUGGGACAGUGCUGACGCUGAAGCGCGACAGCGUGGGGGAGCAAACAGG